UACAGGGGGUGCAAGCGUUGCUCGGAAUCACUGGGCGUAAAGGGCGCGUAGGCGGCCAUUCAAGUCGGAGGUGAAAGCCCAGGGCUCAACCCUGGAAUUGCCUUCGAUACUGUUUGGCUAGAGACCGGAAGAGGUAAGUGGAACUGCGAGUGUAGAGGUGAAAUUCGUAGAUAUUCGCAAGAACACCAGUGGCGAAGGCGGCUUACUGGUCCGGUUCUGACGCUGAGGCGCGAAAGCGUGGGGAGCAAACAGG
This 253-nucleotide ribosomal RNA is filed under the name uncultured bacterium. Its description in RNAcentral is "partial 16S ribosomal RNA". It matches the Rfam family "Bacterial small subunit ribosomal RNA", at positions 524 to 776 of the family's 1533-position model. The record is from RNAcentral.